This 636-nucleotide ribosomal RNA is filed under the name uncultured bacterium. RNAcentral describes it as "bacterial SSU rRNA". It matches the Rfam family "Bacterial small subunit ribosomal RNA", at positions 93 to 740 of the family's 1533-position model. The record is from RNAcentral.
UAGCGGCGAACGGUCGCGUAACACGUAAGCAACCUGCCCCGAAGACCGGGACAACAGUGGGAAACCGCUGCUAAUACCGGAUGUGGCCACCUGGCGGCAUCGUUGGGUGAUUAAACCGAGCAAUCGGCUUCGGGAGGGGCUUGCGGCCUAUCAGCUAGUUGGUGGGGUAACGGCCUACCAAGGCGACGACGGGUAGCUGGUCUGAGAGGACGGCCAGCCGGACUGGGACUGAGAUACGGCCCAGACUCCUACGGGGGGCAGCAAUUAGGAAUCUUGCGCAAUGGGCGAAAGCCUGACGCAGCGACGCCGCGUGGAGGAGGAAGUCCUUCGGGAUGUAAACUCCUUUUUCCGGGGAAGAAACAAAUGACGGUACCCGGUGAAUAAGCCCCGGCUAACUACGUGCCAGCAGCCGCGGUAAUACGUAGGGGGCGAGCGUUGUCCGAAGUUACUGGGCGUAAAGCGCGCGUAGGCGGGAGAUUAAGUGAGAGGUGAAAGGCUGGGGCUCAACCCCAUGCAGUGCCUCUCAUACUGGUCUUCUUGAGGGCGGUAGGGAGAAGUGGAAUGGCUGGUGUAGCGGUGAAAUGCGUAGAUAUCAGUCGGAACACCGGUGGCGAAGGCGGCUUCUUGGGCCGUUCC